This 200-nucleotide ribosomal RNA is filed under the name uncultured bacterium. RNAcentral's name for it is "partial 16S ribosomal RNA". It matches the Rfam family "Bacterial small subunit ribosomal RNA", at positions 1301 to 1500 of the family's 1533-position model. The record is from RNAcentral.
CAGUCUGCAACUCGAGUGUAUGAAGCUGGAAUCGCUAGUAAUCGCGGAUCAGAAUGCCGCGGUGAAUACGUUCCCGGGUCUUGUACACACCGCCCGUCACACCAUGGGAGUCGGGAAUGCCCGAAGCCGGUGGCCCAAUCGAAAGAAGGGAGCCGUCGAAGGCAGGCCGGAUGACUGGGGUGAAGUCGUAACAAGGUACC